RNAcentral lists this ribosomal RNA (380 nucleotides) under uncultured eukaryote. Its description in RNAcentral is "partial 18S ribosomal RNA". It matches the Rfam family "Eukaryotic small subunit ribosomal RNA", at positions 592 to 976 of the family's 1831-position model. The record is from RNAcentral.
CAAUAGUGUAUAUUAAAGUUGUUGCAGUUAGAACGCUCGUAGUCGGAUUUCGGGGCGGGCCGACCGGUCUGCCGAUGGGUAUGCACUGGUCGGCGCGUCCUUCCUUCCGGAGACCGUCCCUACUCUUAACUGAGCGGGGGCGGGAGACGGGACUUUUACUUUGAAAAAAUCAGAGUGUUUCAAGCAGGCAGCUCGCUCUUGCAUGGAUUAGCAUGGGAUAAUGAAAUAGGACUUUGGUGCUAUUUUGUUGGUUUCGAACACCGAAGUAAUGAUGAGAAGGGACAGUCAGGGGCACUCGUAUUCCGCCGAGAGAGGUGAAAUUCUCAGACCAGCGGAAGACGAACCACUGCGAAAGCAUUUGCCAGGGAUGUUUUCACUGA